AUGCCUCUCAAACAUAACUACUAUUUCCUUGCUGCAUUUUUGCUUCAACAAUUCCUGGCAAUAAUUAAGCCAACUGGGACCUGGUAGCAAACCAUCUAUGUGCUCACACACGGUAUGCAGUGCCUUUCGCUUGUUGCAGCCUGACAAUGCUCAAACUAGAGGUGCUUGAGCUUGUAUAAAUCGUUUUAUAUAGGCAUGCAUGCCUUGCAUCGUACAAACCAAUUAUUAUUGGUACUAUUCAUACAGUCAUACAUGAAUCUAGCUAAAGAGCGAACUACCACUGUGUGAAAAAAUGGCAUUAGGCCCUGUUUAGAUUGCUGAUAAAAAUUUUCUGGGUGUCACAUCGAAUGUGUCGGAAGAAUGUCGGGAGG
Molecule: long non-coding RNA, 371 nt
Filed under: Sorghum bicolor (sorghum)
Lineage: Eukaryota; Viridiplantae; Streptophyta; Magnoliopsida; Poales; Poaceae
Description: long non-coding RNA (SBIC_LNC002138)
Source: RNAcentral